This is an RNA transcript of Oncorhynchus keta (chum salmon), 7122 nucleotides long. It is a transcript of the gene named neurotrophin receptor-interacting factor homolog, with no coding region annotated. NCBI's taxonomy places the organism in Eukaryota, Metazoa, Chordata, Actinopteri, Salmoniformes, Salmonidae. The transcript has 7 exons. The record is from RefSeq and is a predicted model, not a curated record.
GCAACACAUCGUCUUGUCUGCCGGAAAUCACACAAAGAAGUAGUAAACGGAAGUGAAUCGUGCCCAGGAACAGUUUCGACGUUAACGUUUUGUUGUUAUUUAGACGUUUAUUAACACCCUGGAACUGAAAAUAUCACACACUUACCCCAGGGUAGUGUUUAAUUCGCGUUGAAGACGGGACUUGGUUGGUAGAUGUUAUCUAGGUAAUGCUAACUAUCUAGCCGCUAAGAAUGGCUAACUGUAACGUAAUGGUUUUUCACACUCAAAUAGCCUCCGUUAUGGAGGUGCUAGCGAAUGCAGCCGUGGCAGAGAUCUGUAAACUCGUAGACGACGACUAUGCAGUGUUUCGUUUGGAAAUAACUCAAAGCCAGAAAGAAAACCGGGCAUUGCGGAGGAAACUACAGCUACUGGAACUGAAGGUGGCACGGGAGCGCGCAGAGAGGACAAUACGAGAGCGCGUCCUCGCCAGUCGUCCCAGUAAUGUCAAGAUCCUCGACCGAUACAGAGGAAUGGCAAGAGGUGAAGGACAUCUCACUGGAGGCCACAGGAGCUUUGUGAAGCCAGCGAGAGACAAUACAUGGAGACAUGACCAACCAGUCAUUGUUGAUGAGGGGAGUGGAACCUCAACCCAGCACUUUAUGGUGAUAGAGUCUACAGAUGCAGAGGCUGCAGGUCUUGGGGUGAAGCAGGAGAGGUCUGAAGGAGAGGACCCACGGCACAGCAGAGACAUCCAGACUGGAGCAGCUGGAGCGCACCCUGUAGCCACAGAAGACCCCACCACCACCCCAGCACUGCCCAGGACCAGACACAGCAUCACGGAGGAGGAGGGUCCAGAGUUGCUGCUGGUGAAGGAGGAGGGUGUGGGUAACCCUGAGGGGGCCAUGGUCAUGGAGGACAACCAGUCUACACCUCCCCCUGAACCCACAGAGGAACCAGCUGAGCAGCACAGGACCACACACAGUCUCACUGAGUCAGUAGACAUGGAGGAUGGGAAGCCUGAUCUGCUGCUGGUCAAAGAGGAGACAAUAGAAGAUGGACCAGAGAGCAUUGAUCUGCUGAGUGGACUAAAGAUGGGGGAGCAAGGUGGUUGGCUGGAGGCUAACAGAGGAGACAGAGGAGACUGGGCGACCAUCUUGGAUUACCAGACCCAGACCGGUGCAGCCAAGGGCUUAAGGGACAACAUCACUGAGCAGGCCAGGACCAGAGGUGACAUAGUGGAGGUCAGUGGAUGGGACAGCGUCUUGAACUCUGGGCUGGGGAACAACACUGUUAACCAGAAACAGACCGUCGAACACAAAACAACAACCGAACUUAGUCUCCAUGACAACAGACUGGCUGAGACCAGGGCGAGGCAUUGCUUUGGUCUGCAGGGACGGGAAGGUGUCGGUAUGGGGCGGGAGAGAACACACACAGACUUGGCUAGCGAUGCUCCGUCCUGCUCCUAUAGUUGUGAUUCAGAGAGACUGAUGACUCCUCAGGUUAACCCCCUAACAGGUGCUGCCUUCAGCCUGCCUCCUAUAGGAUCUAUCAACUGGAACAUGGACCCUGCAACAACACAGACACUCCCUGGCCUUCAUCCUCCUCACACUCUCCUUAUGUUAAACCAAACAUCAGGCAAUGCCAGUUCCUCAACACUAAAUGGCUACACAAGCCCAUUGACAAAUGACAGUAGUAGAGACAGAAUCAGUAAAGGUGGCAGCGCCAUAGAGAAGCGCUUCACGUGUUCAUUCUGUGGGAAAGCCUUCAGUUUCCCCCAACAGGUGGAGAUCCAUCAGAGGAUGCACACGGGGGAGAAACCAUAUGGCUGCCACCUGUGCCGGGCCACUUUCUCCCAAUCGUCCAGUCUGAAUAGGCACCAAAGAGUCCACACAGGGGAGAAACCCUUCAGCUGUAACCAGUGUAACAUGCGCUUUGCCCAUGCUGGCAACCUGAAGAGACACCAGAGGGUCCACACAGAGGAGAAACAAUACAGCUGACCCCAGUGUGAGAAGAGAUUCUCCUGCUAGCAGCAGCUGAAGAUGCACCUGAAGAUCCACACGGGAGAGAGGUGGUUCGCAAUGCAGGAGGAGGAUUUUAGAAAGGAGUUACCUCAGGAUACACCUGCAGAAAAACCAUUCCACUCUAUAACAUAGAAAGUAACUAUUCCUCUUAAUCGAGACUGCGAUGCAUUAAAAACAAACAUCAAUUGUCAUUAUUGUCAGCAGAAAAUAUAUUUUUGAUUUGACCUUUAUUUUAACAGGGAGUCAACAUUGAGACCAGGGUCUCUUUCACAAGGGAGCCCUGCAUAUACAAUGAAUAGGACUAAAUAAAAUCAGAUACAAUGUAAAAGAAAUACAGCACAACACAAAUGUUCAAGAAAAACAGUUACAUUCCUCUGUAAGAAUUGCCGAACAGACCAGAACACCCAAUUGUAAUGUAUUUUGUAGUUGGUUCCAUCAAUGAGGUGCAUUUAAAACUAAAAGUGGAGAUCCGAGGAACCUCAAGAGUUAACCAACCCUGUAAACGGGUUUGGGAUCUCAUGUUUUUAUACUUCAACAAUGAAGUUAGGUAAGUUGGAAACUUGUAUAGUAAAGCUUUGUAACAAAAAGAGACUUUCAUGAGGACCAGCCAACCUUUUGAUACAGGAUGCAGUGGUGAGUAUUACACAGAUGCAUUUGAUAUUACUAGAGUAACAGAUGUGUUGAAUAUUCCUGGGUAGUCUAUAUUGUAUCCAGACAUGUUGUGAUAUAUAAGGCAUAUACAAUGCCUUCAGAAAGUAUCCACACCUCUGGACUUUUUCCACAUUUUAUUGUGUUCGAGCCUGAAUUUACAUGUUUUAUUUGUUUGUCACUGGCCUACACACAAUGCCCCAUAAUGUCAAAGUGAAAAUGUUUUUAGAAAUGUUGACAAAUUAAUUAAAAAAUGAAAAGCUGAAACAUUUUUAGUCAAAAGUAUUCCACCCGUAAAUACAUUCAGGAGUAAAAAUGAGCUUAACAAGUCACAUAAUAAGUUGCAUGGACUCACUCUGUGUGCAAUAAUAGCGUUUUACAAUUAUCUCCAAGGGUCCUUCAGGCGAGAAAUGAAUUUCAAACACAGAUUAGAUUCAACCACAAAGACCAAGGAGGUUUUCCAAUGCCUCGCAAAGAAGGGCACCUAUUGGUAGAUGGGUAAAAAGAAAAAAGCAGACAUUGUAUAUCCCUUUGAGCAUGGUGAAGUUAUUAAUUACACUUUGGAUGGUGUAUCAAUACACUAAAGUAAUUCUGCAAGAAAUGUGGCAAAGCAGUACAUUUUUUGUCCUAAAUACAAAGUGUUAUGUUUGGGGCUAAUCCAAUACAAGACAUUACUGAGUACAACUCUCCACAUUUUCAAGCAUAUAGGUGGCUGCAUCAUGUUAUGGUUAUGCUUGUAAUCGUUAAUUAUUGCAGUGUUUUUCAGGAUAAAAAUGAAACGGAAUGGAACAAAAUCCAAGAGGAAAACCUGGUUCAGUCUGCUUUCCACCAGACACUGGGAGGAAUUCACCUUUGCAGGACAGUAACCUAAAACACAAGGCCAAAUAUACACUGGAGUUGCUUACCAAGAAGACAGUGAAUUUUCCUGAGUGGCUGAGUUACAGUUUUGACUUACAUCUACUUGAGAAUCUAUGGCAAGACCUGAAAAUUGUUAUCUAGAGUCUCAUCUGAAUUCCAUGUCAGAAGAGCAUAGCCCUCCACUUUCACAGUCACCUCAUCUAAGACCAGACCCUCUCCUUUCUUAUCUAGGCACCCUUCAGAGUAUACACUGCUACUGUACCGGUUCCGGUCCCCUCUCAUUGGAUUAGAUUACAGUACCUUCAGAAAGUAUUCAUACCCCUUGACUUAUUCCACAUGUUGUUGUGUUACGGCUGAAUUAAAAAUGGAUUAAAAACAUUUUAUCACCCAUCUACACACAAAACCCCAUAAUGACAAAGUGAAAACAGGUUUAUUGAAAUGUUAUUGAAAAUUAAGUACAUAAAUGUAUAAUUUAUGUAAUUAUUCACACCCGAAUACUUUGUAGAAACAAUGUUGGUUGCGAUUACAGCUGUGAAUCUUUCUGGGUACGUCUCCAAGAGCUUUCUAAACCUGCAUAUUAUUUUCAAACUUCAUCAAGUUCUAUCAAAUUGCUUGUUCAUCAUUUUUAGGUCUUGCCAUAGAUUCUCAAGACGAUUUAAGUCAAAACUGUAACUCGGUCAUUCAAGAAAACUCACUGUCUUCUUGGUAAGCAACUCCAGUGUAGAUUUGGCCUUGUGUUUAAAAAAAAGAUUUUAACAGAUAUUAUUCAUCCUGAUCAGACGGGAUUUUUACAUGGACGAUAUAUUGGAGAUAAUAUACAACAAUUACUUGAACAUUAUGAAACAUCGAAGAUACCAGGUAUGAUCUUCAUAGCAGAUUUUGAAAAGACGUUUUAUAAAGUACGACUACAAUUUAUAUAUAAAUGUCUGGAUUACUUUAGUUUUGGUGAAUCUCUUAUACAAUGUGUUAAAGUUAAGUACAGCAACCCCAGAUGUAAAAUAGUAAAUAAUGGUUACUUCUCAGAAAAUAUUGAGCUUUUUAAGUAAAACAAGGCUGUCCGUUGUCUCCAUAUCUAUUUAUUAUGGCCAUUGAAAUGCUAGCUAUUAAAAUUAGACCCAACAAGAACAGGGGGUUAGAAAUCCAGGGGAUAAAAACAAAAGUGUCAAUGUAUGCCGAUGAUUCUAGUUUUGUCUUAAGUACACAAUCUGGAUCCCUGCACAGUCUCAUUGAAGGUCUUAAUCACUUUUCUAGCCUCUCUGGAUUAAAACCUAAUUACGACAAGUGCACCAUAUUAUGUAUUGGAUCAUAAAAAAAAUAGUGUUUACACUACCAUGUAGUUUACCAAUAAAAUGGGCGGAUGGUGAAGUAGACAUACUUGGUUUUCACAUUUAAAAAAUAUAGUUGAAUUUACCACAAUUAAUUUCAAUAGAAAGUUAGCAAAGAUAGAUAUGAUUCUGCAACCAUGAAGAGGUAAAUACUCUAUGGAAAAAUCACAUUGAUUAACUCUUUGGUCCUAUCACAGUUUACUUACUUACUAAUGGCACUGCCUACUCCAGAUGACUAAUUUUUUAAAUCAUAUGAGCAACAAAAAAAAGGCUAAGCCAGACCAAAUAAAAUAUGCCUAUUCAUAUAAUGGAUAUGAGUUUGGGGGGCUAAAAUUAUUAAAAAUUAAAGCUUUAAACCUCUCACUAAAAGCUUCACUCAUACAUAAAUGAUACUUAAACCCAAAAUGGUUCUCCAGUAGAUUAUUAAAGGCUCAUCCUUUGUUCAAAAAUGGCCUUUUUGCCUUUAUACAGAUUGCAACUUCUCAUUUCUGACUAAUUGAAAAUGAAAUUUUGUUUAACGUAUCGCCCUUUCUUAAACAAGCCAUACAAAGCUGGUUACAAUUUCAGUUUUAUCCUCCAGAAAAUAUAGAAUAUUACAACAAAUGUUAUGGUUAUACCCAAAUAUACGGAUUAAUAAAAAAAAGGGUUGAAAGGGUAUUAUAUUUAGGGUAUUAUAUUUAUUAAUUAUAUUAUGAAUAGAUGAAUAGAUAUAUAUUAUGAAUAGAAACUGAGGAGUUGUGUCACAUAACAUAUGUUAUCGAAAAUAUAUGGGAAUAUCUGCUCAAUCCAAAUUUACAACCAACUGAAUGCAGCACUACCACAAAAAUGGAGGAGGCAAGUGGAAAGGGGAGAAGGUAGGGAACUUGUUUGCCUACCAUAUAUUAAAGAUACAAAUUGGCUGAAAGGAACUGGCAUAAAUAGAAACAGCUGCGCCAUACAGGACAGCUGCGCCAUACAGGUUGCAAAAUAAAUGGGAGGAGAUUUUCGAUGUACCAAUUCCAUCUCACAUGGUUUAUGAACUGGUACAAAAUCUACACUUGAUUCAACACUUACAGUUUUUCAAUUUAAAUUAUUAUAUAACAUACUUGCCACCGACAGAAUGCUAUAUACAGUGGGGCAAAAAAGUAUUUAGUCAGCCACCAAUUGUGCAAGUUCUCCCACUUAAAAAGAUGAGAGAGGCCUGUAAUUUUCAUCAUAGGUACACUUCAACUAUGACAGACAAAAUGAGAAAAAAAAAUCCAGAAAAUCACAUUGGAGGAUUUUUAAUGAAUUUAUUUGCAAAUUAUGGAUGUUGUGUGUAUGGAACAUUUCUGAGAACUUUUAUAACGGCUCAUGAAACAAGGGACGUUGUGAUAUUUUUUAUUUAAAAAAAAAUCUGUUGUCAUUUGAUUUUUUUUUGUGCCGUGAAAAAGUAUGUGCCUCCUUUAGGAUUUUCUCUAUUUCCACAAAUUUUUGAUACUGAAUGUCAUCAGAUCUUCAACCAAAACCUAAUAUCAGAUAAAGGGAACCUGAGUUUACAAAUAAUCCCCCAAAAUAUAUAUUUGAUUUAAUUAACAAAGUUAUGCAACACCCAAUUCCACUGUGUGAAAAAGUAAUAGCCCCCUUAUACUCAAUAACUGGGUGUGCCACCUUUAGCUGCAAUGACUGCAACCAAAUGGUUCCUGUAGUUGUUGAUCAGUCUCUCAUGUCGCUGUGGAGGGAUUUUCACCCACUUUUGCAUGCAGAACUGCUUUAACUCAGCGACAUUUGUUGGUUUUCAAACAUUUAAUGCUCGUUUCAAGUCUGGCCACAUCCCAAUUGGGAUUAGGUCUGGUCUUUGACUAGGCCUUUACAAAACUUCACAUUUGUUGCUUUUUAACCAUUUUCAUGUAGACUUGAUUGUUUGUUUUGGAUCAUUGUCUUGCUGCAUGACCAAGCUGUGCUUCAGCUCAGAUGGAUGGCCUGACAUUCUCCUGUAGAAUUAUCUAAUACAGAGCAGAACUCAUGGUUCCUUUCUAUUAAGGCAUGUCGUCCAGGUCCUGAGGCAGCAAAGCAUCCCCAAACCAUCACACUGUUUUCCGGACUCUUCUGAUCCUUCUUAAAUAUUGUUCUUCUGUGAAUUGUUUUGGAUUGUUAGGUACUCUUGGAGCUAGAAACAUAAGCAUUUCGCUGCACCUGCGAUACCAUCUGCAAAAUAUGUUCAGUAGACAUGGAGGAUGGGAAGCCUGAUCUGUUGUUGGUCAAAGAGGAGACAAUAGAAGAUGUACCAGAGAGCAUUGACCUGCUGAGUGAACUAAAGAUGGGGGAGCAAG